Molecule: ribosomal RNA, 254 nt
Filed under: uncultured prokaryote
Description: partial 16S ribosomal RNA
Rfam family: Bacterial small subunit ribosomal RNA
Source: RNAcentral
GACGAACCGAGCGAACGUUGUUCGGAAUCACUGGGCCUAAAGGGCGCGUAGGCGGGCUGCCGCGUCCGGGGUGAAAUCCUCCGGCUCAACCGGGGAAGGGCCUCAGAUACGGGCGGCCUGGAGGGGGGUAGGGGCGUGCGGAACUGUGGGUGGAGCGGUGAAAUGCGUUGAGAUCCACAGGAACUCCGGUGGCGAGGGCGGCACGCUGGACCCCUUCUGACGCUGAGGCGCGAAAGCCAGGGGAGCGAACGGGA